CCUACGGGAGGCAGCAGUGAGGAAUAUUGGUCAAUGGACGAGAGUCUGAACCAGCCAAGUAGCGUGAAGGAUGACUGCCCUAUGGGUUGUAAACUUCUUUUAUAUGGGAAUAAAAUGUUCCACGUGUGGGAUUUUGUAUGUACCAUAUGAAUAAGGAUCGGCUAACUCCGUGCCAGCAGCCGCGGUAAUACGGAGGAUCCGAGCGUUAUCCGGAUUUAUUGGGUUUAAAGGGAGCGUAGGUGGAUUGUUAAGUCAGUUGUGAAAGUUUGCGGUUCAACCGUACAAUUGCAGUUGAAACUGGCAGUCUUGCGUACAGUAGAGGUGGGCGGAUUUCGUGUUGUAGCGGUUAAAUGCUUAGAUAUCACGAAGAACUCCGAUUGCGAAGGCAGUUCACUGGACUGCAACUGACACUGAUGCUCGACAGUGUGUGUAUCAAACAGGAUUAGCUACCCUGGUAGUC
RNAcentral lists this ribosomal RNA (460 nucleotides) under uncultured bacterium. RNAcentral describes it as "partial 16S ribosomal RNA". It matches the Rfam family "Bacterial small subunit ribosomal RNA", at positions 338 to 795 of the family's 1533-position model. The record is from RNAcentral.